UACGUAGGGUGCAAGCGUUAAUCGGAAUUACUGGGCGUAAAGCGUGCGCAGGCGGUGAUGUAAGACAGGUGUGAAAUCCCCGGGCUUAGCCUGGGAACUGCAUUUGUGACUGCAUCGCUUGAGUGCGGCAGAGGGGGAUGGAAUUCCGCGUGUAGCAGUGAAAUGCGUAGAUAUGCGGAGGAACACCGAUGGCGAAGGCAAUCCCCUGGGCCUGCACUGACGCUCAUGCACGAAAGCGUGGGGAGCAAACAGG
This 253-nucleotide ribosomal RNA is filed under the name uncultured bacterium. RNAcentral's name for it is "partial 16S ribosomal RNA". It matches the Rfam family "Bacterial small subunit ribosomal RNA", at positions 524 to 776 of the family's 1533-position model. The record is from RNAcentral.